Molecule: ribosomal RNA, 253 nt
Filed under: uncultured bacterium
Lineage: Bacteria
Description: partial 16S ribosomal RNA
Rfam family: Bacterial small subunit ribosomal RNA
Source: RNAcentral
UACGAAGGGAGCUAGCGUUGUUCGGAAUUACUGGGCGUAAAGGGCGUGUAGGCGGUUCCAUAAGUCAGAUGUGAAAGCCCUAGGCUUAACCUAGGAGGUGCAUUUGAUACUGUGGAACUAGAGAUCGAGAGAGGAAAGUGGAAUUACGAGUGUAGAGGUGAAAUUCGUAGAUAUUCGUAAGAACACCAGUGGCGAAGGCGACUUUCUGGCUCGAUACUGACGCUAAGGCGCGAAAGCGUGGGGAGCAAACAGG